ACAUACAGAACAUAAAAGGGUGUUGUUCUGUUGUUUACCUUCAGGUAGGUAGGUAAUUUGAAUUAAGCUACCUACCUAGCUUCGUACCCUAGCAUCAAUUAAAUUCCAUGUUCAUAUUAUUAUUAUUAUUAUUAUUAUUAAUUCAUCUAAUAAACUUUUAUGAUUUAUUUGAGAUUUGGCCGCAAUGAAUUCCAAAUCCAAACAUUAUUCAUGGCUUUGAUUGUUCAUUAUUAUACAGUGGUGAUCAGAUUCAGAGCUACCCAAGCUUCUAUUCCAUUUCUAUUUGCCGAGACCCAACUGGAAUCCUCCGUCAGUCAGUCAGAGGUUGAAAAUAUCUUUUCCUCAAAUCAAACAAAUUGUUCCUAUUGAGUGAGUAGGAUUGAUUGAUGAUUACUUUGGAUUGCACAAAGUUCAAGUUCAUGGAAUAUUGUUGAUUGCUAACAUUUUGAAGUUUUGGAUCCGGCUUGUGGAUGUUUUUUGUUUGAAUCGCUUUUAAAAUCUAGAGGACAGAUAGAUUAUUUCUCAUUUGUACUACGAAACUGGUUCUUUUUAUUAAGCUAGUUACUAUAGUACACAUUCCAUUGUGUAAUUGUAAGCCGCUGAAAAUGAUAGACAGAUAGAUAAAUUGUGCAA
Medicago truncatula (barrel medic) is the source of this 633-nucleotide long non-coding RNA. RefSeq lists it as uncharacterized. The transcript has 2 exons. Lineage: Eukaryota; Viridiplantae; Streptophyta; Magnoliopsida; Fabales; Fabaceae. The record is from RefSeq and is a predicted model, not a curated record.